GAAAACUGGGAAGAGCUCCCUGACUUCUGAUGAUACCAGAAUAUACUUUUUCCUGCAAUGUUGAUGCCACUUCUCAGAGUGCAGAGUUGACUGAGUGAUGGACAUGCUCAGAAGAGAUUCUUGAACACACCUGAAUCUUGACUUUUCACUGGCCAGGAGCCCUGGGAGAGCCCCAGGAACUUUCCCAGUAUUGCCUGCAGUAAGAUAUGAGGGAUGUAACCAUGUGGUCUCAUAAUCAGGAACUUGAAAAACAAGCCUGGAUGAGGGGAGGACCUGAAGAUAACAAGAAGGU
Choloepus didactylus (southern two-toed sloth) is the source of this 292-nucleotide long non-coding RNA. RefSeq lists it as uncharacterized. The record is from RefSeq and is a predicted model, not a curated record. Lineage: Eukaryota; Metazoa; Chordata; Mammalia; Pilosa; Megalonychidae. The transcript is spliced from 3 exons.